UGCCACUUCACCACUUAAAAUCUAAAGACUAAAAUGUAUGCCUCUGUUAUCGGAGCGGGCUCCCAACUUCAAAACUUAAACUUAAAAACUAAAAUGUAUACCUCUAUUAUCGGGGCGGGCUCCCCACUUCAAAACUUAAAUUUAAAAACUAAAAUGUAUGCCUCUGUUAUCGGGGUGGGCUCCCCAUUUCAAAACAUAAAAUUUAAAGACUAAAAAUGCAUGCCUCUGUUAUCGGGGCGGGCUACCCAUUCCAAAAAA
Molecule: long non-coding RNA, 258 nt
Filed under: Nicotiana benthamiana
Lineage: Eukaryota; Viridiplantae; Streptophyta; Magnoliopsida; Solanales; Solanaceae
Description: long non-coding RNA (NBEN_LNC006638)
Source: RNAcentral